This 510-nucleotide ribosomal RNA is filed under the name uncultured bacterium. RNAcentral's name for it is "bacterial SSU rRNA". It matches the Rfam family "Bacterial small subunit ribosomal RNA", at positions 8 to 518 of the family's 1533-position model. The record is from RNAcentral.
AGAGUUUGAUUCUGGCUCAGGAUGAACGCUGGCGGCGUGCCUAACACAUGCAAGUCGAACGGACCUAUUAUUAACAGAGACUCGGUUGAAGUUGGUUUAGGUUAGUGGCGGACGGGUGAGUAACGCGUGGAGAACCUGCCCUGUACUGGGGGAUAACAGUGAGAAAUCACUGCUAAUACCGCAUAAGCGCACGAAACCGCAUGGUUUUGUGUGAAAAACUCCGGUGGUACAGGAUGGCUCCGCGUUGGAUUAGCCAGUUGGCGGGGUAACGGCCCACCAAAGCUACGAUCCAUAGCCGGCCUGAGAGGGUGAACGGCCACAUUGGGACUGAGACACGGCCCAGACUCCUACGGGAGGCAGCAGUGGGGAAUAUUGCACAGUGGGGGAAACCCUGAUGCCAGCGACGCCGCGUGAAGGAAGAAGUAUCUCGGUAUGUAAACUUCUAUCAGCAGGGAAGAAAAUGACGGUACCUGACUAAGAAGCCCCGGCUAACUACGUGCCAGCCGCAGC